RNAcentral lists this non-coding RNA (761 nucleotides) under Cleptes metallicorpus. The record is from RNAcentral. Lineage: Eukaryota; Metazoa; Arthropoda; Insecta; Hymenoptera; Chrysididae.
AAAUAAAUGUAAAAAUUUAAUUUUAGUUAAAAAUUAAUUUAAAUAAAUAAUAUAUAUAUAUAAAAUAUUUUUUUUUAUUUUUAUUAGAUAUAGGAAUAAAUUUACUUAAUAUGUAAGUUUAAUUAAAGUUAAUGAAAAUUAUAAUUAGUUAUUAUUAAUAUAAUAGGUUUAUAAUGUGCCAGCAUCUGCGGUUAAACAUUUUAUUAAAAUUAAUUUUAAUAAAAGUUAUUUAUAUUAAUUAAAAAAAGAUUUUUUUUGGUGAAAUAUGAAGAUUUUAUUUAUAAUUAAUUUAUUUAUAUUAUUAUAAAUAAACUAGGAUUAGAUACCCUAUUAUUAAUAAUAAGAGUAUAGUUUUUUAAAAGAUUAAAUGGUAAAUCAUUAAAUUUAAUUAAUUUGGCGGUAUAUUUAAUUGGUUAGAGGAACAUGUUAUUUAAUUUGAUAAUCCACGAAAGGAUAGACUUAAAGUUAAUUUAUGUAUUGUUGUUUUAAGAAUAUAUAUUAAUAUUAUAUUUUUAAUUUAUUUUUAAUAAAAUAAUUCAAAUCAAAAUGUAGUGUAUCUUUAAGAAUAAAUGUGUUACAAUAAAUUAAAUUUAUUUAUAUUUUAUUUAAUUAAAAUUGAAUAGUUAGUAUUUAAAAGUAAAUUUAUUUAAAUUAAUUAAAUUGAAUUUUAAUAAUUUAUGUACAAAUUGCCCGUCAUUUUCUUUGAUAUUUAAAAGAAAAAAGUCGUAACAAAGUAAAUAUAUCGGAAGAUGUAUUUAGAU